Molecule: microRNA precursor, 132 nt
Organism: Macleaya cordata
Lineage: Eukaryota; Viridiplantae; Streptophyta; Magnoliopsida; Ranunculales; Papaveraceae
Rfam family: MIR397 microRNA precursor family
Source: Rfam
AAAAAAAACAUCAUUGAGUGCAGCGUUGAUGAAGUCUUGACUCAUCACAAUCGUUCAUGGACGUUGGAUUUCACGUUCUUGUGAUGUGAGAUCAAUGUGAUUUCGCCAGCGCUGCAUUCAAUCAUGUUUUUA